AUACGUAGGGUGCAAGCGUUAAUCGGAAUUACUGGGCGUAAAGCGUGCGCAGGCGGUCUUGCAAGACAGAUGUGAAAUCCCCGGGCUUAACCUGGGAACUGCAUUUGUGACUGCAAGGCUGGAGUGCGGCAGAGGGGGAUGGAAUUCCGCGUGUAGCAGUGAAAUGCGUAGAUAUGCGGAGGAACACCGAUGGCGAAGGCAAUCCCCUGGGCCUGCACUGACGCUCAUGCACGAAAGCGUGGGGAGCAAACA
RNAcentral lists this ribosomal RNA (252 nucleotides) under uncultured prokaryote. RNAcentral's name for it is "partial 16S ribosomal RNA". It matches the Rfam family "Bacterial small subunit ribosomal RNA", at positions 523 to 774 of the family's 1533-position model. The record is from RNAcentral.